GAGUUUGAUCUUGGCUCAGAUUGAACGCUGGCGGCAUGCCUUACACAUGCAAGUCGAACGGCAGCACGGGAGCUUGCUCCUGGUGGCGAGUGGCGAACGGGUGAGUAAUGCAUCGGAACGUAUCCUGGAGUGGGGGAUAACGUAGCGAAAGUUACGCUAAUACCGCAUAUUCUGUGAGCAGGAAAGCGGGGGACCUUCGGGCCUCGCGCUCUUGGAGCGGCCGAUGUCGGAUUAGCUAGUUGUGAGGUAAAGGCUCACCAAGGCGACGAUCCGUAGCAGGUCUGAGAGGAUGAUCUGCCACACUGGAACUGAGACACGGUCCAGACUCCUACGGGAGGCAGCAGUGGGAUUUUGGACAAUGGGGGCAACCCUGAUCCAGCCAUGCCGCGUGAGUGAAGAAGG
RNAcentral lists this ribosomal RNA (402 nucleotides) under bacterium enrichment culture clone ALO1_GLFRUDD03G3S94. RNAcentral describes it as "bacterial SSU rRNA". It matches the Rfam family "Bacterial small subunit ribosomal RNA", at positions 9 to 414 of the family's 1533-position model. The record is from RNAcentral.